Molecule: long non-coding RNA, 592 nt
Organism: Daktulosphaira vitifoliae (grape phylloxera)
Lineage: Eukaryota; Metazoa; Arthropoda; Insecta; Hemiptera; Phylloxeridae
Exons: 3
Source: RefSeq, a predicted model, not a curated record
GAACCAUGUUCCAGAAGUACGACAUAAUACAGAACCCGUAAUGUGACGUACUACUGAUCUUAGAAUAAAGUUUCUAAGAUUAGACGGACGUGAUAUUAAUUGUAAGAUUUUGGCUGUCAACCGCGUGUGUGGGUCCUUUGUGCGCAAAUCCUUAAGAAUGGGCUAUUGCCGGCACUGUUACGCUUGUAAAUCAUGUAAUGCCGUCACAAAACCGUUGUUAUUUUUAUGGCACAAGUUGUAUUUUAUGUGGGAAUAUUAAUGAAAUGUAACGAUUAAUAAUAUCCAACGAAAGUAUACCAAUGAAAAUAACCAAAUGCGAUCGACUCAACAGACUUUUCAUUUGAAAAUAAAGCAGUAAAAAAUAAUCAUUACCAUACCAAAGUUUUCUCUCGGAAUGCCCUGCUCAGACGAGGAAACUAAUAUCACUGAUGUAAAAUAAGUAUUAAUAAUUAUUAUUAAUUUACACAAUUAUUAUUUUUUUAUUUUAUUUUAAUGAUAAAUUAUAUAGUUAUUUAAAUAUUAAAUUAAUGUGUUUUUUUUUUAACAAUUGGAAUGUUUAAAAUAAAAUUAAAGUGAAUAAAAUUUAUAUAAA